CCAGACGAUCGCGUGCACUUUGCAUGAGGAAAGUCCGGGCUCCACAGGGCGAGGAUGCCAGAUAACGUCUGGCGUAGGUAACUAUAGGGAAAGUGCAACAGAAACAUUCCGCCGAAACGGGUAAUGCCGUGGUAAGGUUGAAAUGGUGAGGUAAGAGCUCACCGGCGCCAUGGAGACAUGACGGCCGUGUAAACCCCAUCCGGAGCAAGACUAAGAAUGGGUUUGUAGUGCAGUUGCCCGCUGCCCCCAGAAGGUAAGUCGCUGGAGACUGUCAGCAAUGGCAGUACUAGAUGGAUGAUCGUUUAAUACAGAACCCGGCUUACGGUUUGCCC
RNAcentral lists this RNase P RNA (332 nucleotides) under pig gut metagenome. RNAcentral describes it as "Bacterial RNase P class A". It matches the Rfam family "Bacterial RNase P class A". From Rfam's summary of the family: Ribonuclease P (RNase P) is a ubiquitous endoribonuclease, found in archaea, bacteria and eukarya as well as chloroplasts and mitochondria. The record is from RNAcentral. RNAcentral also lists the same sequence under 1 other name.